UACGUAGGGUGCGAGCGUUAAUCGGAAUUACUGGGCGUAAAGCGUGCGCAGGCGGUUUUGUAAGCCAGAUGUGAAAUCCCCGGGCUUAACCUGGGAAUGGCAUUUGGGACUGCAAGGCUUGAGUGCGGCAGAGGAGACUGGAAUUCCCGGUGUAGCAGUGAAAUGCGUAGAGAUCGGGAGGAACAUCAGUUGCGAAGGCGGCUCUCUGGACCAGCACUGACACUGAGGCACGAAAGCGUGGGGAGCAAACAGG
RNAcentral lists this ribosomal RNA (253 nucleotides) under uncultured bacterium. RNAcentral describes it as "partial 16S ribosomal RNA". It matches the Rfam family "Bacterial small subunit ribosomal RNA", at positions 524 to 776 of the family's 1533-position model. The record is from RNAcentral.